RNAcentral lists this unclassified non-coding RNA (208 nucleotides) under Hevea brasiliensis (rubber tree). Lineage: Eukaryota; Viridiplantae; Streptophyta; Magnoliopsida; Malpighiales; Euphorbiaceae. The record is from RNAcentral.
UAACAUUUAGGUAAAAGAGGGUGGCUCUGGUGCAACCGUAAAUUUAAUCCAUUUGUGGCCUAGAGGUCACAAGUUCAAGCCAUGGAAAUAGCCUCUUUUGAAAGCAAAGGUAAAGCUACGUAAAUCAACCCUUCCCCAAAGCCCCCAAGUGUGGGAUGCUUCGUGAACUAGGUUACCCUUUUUUAUAACAUUUAGGGUAAAAAAAGAA